RNAcentral lists this ribosomal RNA (279 nucleotides) under uncultured bacterium. RNAcentral's name for it is "partial 16S ribosomal RNA". It matches the Rfam family "Bacterial small subunit ribosomal RNA", at positions 506 to 784 of the family's 1533-position model. The record is from RNAcentral.
UGCCAGCAGCCGCGGUAAUACGGAGGGUGCGAGCGUUGUUCGGAAUUACUGGGCGUAAAGAGCGCGUAGGCGGGUUGGAUAGUCAGCUGUGAAAGCCCAGGGCUUAACCUUGGAAUUGCAGUUGAAACUACCAAUCUUGAAUACCUGAGAGGAUAUCGGAAUUCCCGGUGUAGGAGUGAAAUCCGUAGAUAUCGGGAGGAACACCCGAGGCGAAGGCGGAUGUCUGGCAGAGUAUUGACGCUGAGGCGCGAAAGCGUGGGUAGCAAACAGGAUUAGAUA